AAAAACACCGUAACUUGAUGUAGUAGAUAGUAGUGUAAAUUUA
This 43-nucleotide non-coding RNA is filed under the name Trypanosoma brucei brucei. The record is from RNAcentral. Lineage: Eukaryota; Euglenozoa; Kinetoplastea; Trypanosomatida; Trypanosomatidae.